CCUACGGGUGGCAGCAGUAGGGAAUAUUGCUCAAUGGGGGAAACCCUGAAGCAGCAACGCCGCGUGGAGGAUGAAGGUUUUCGGAUUGUAAACUUCUUUUGUUAGAGAAGAUAAUGACGGUAUCUAACGAAUAAGCACCGGCUAACUCCGUGCCAGCAGCCGCGGCAAUACGGAGGGUGCAAGCGUUACUCGGAAUCACUGGGCGUAAAGAGCGCGUAGGCGGGAUAGCAAGUCAGAUGUGAAAUCCUAUGGAUUAACCAUAGAACUGCAUUUGAAACUGUUAUUCUAGAGUAUGGGAGAGGUAGGUGGAAUUCGUGGUGUAGGGGUGAAAUGCGUAGAGAUCAAGAGGAAUACUCAUUGCGAAGGCGACCUGCUAGAACAUAACUGACGCUGAUGCGCGAAAGCGUGGGGAGCAAACAGGAUUAGAUACCCUUGUAGUC
RNAcentral lists this ribosomal RNA (440 nucleotides) under uncultured bacterium. RNAcentral's name for it is "partial 16S ribosomal RNA". It matches the Rfam family "Bacterial small subunit ribosomal RNA", at positions 338 to 795 of the family's 1533-position model. The record is from RNAcentral.